AUCUGGUUGAUCCUGCCAGAGGCGACCGCUAUUGGAGUUCGAUUAAGCCAUGCGAGUAGAAAGAAAUUAGAUUCUUUGCAUACUGCUCAGUAACACGUGGAUAACCUGCCCUACACUGGGGGAUAAUCUCGGGAAACUGAGCAUAAUACCCCAUAGACCACUACGCCUGGAACGGUGAGUGGUUGAAAGCUUCGGCGGUGUAGGAUGGGUCUGCGGCGUAUCAGGUUGUAGGGGGUGUAAUGGACCUCCUAGCCAUCGACGCGUACGGGUUGUGGGAGCAAUAGCCCGGAGACGGAUUUUGAGACACGAAUCCGGACCCUACGGGGUGCAGCAGGCGCGAAAACUUCACACUGCAGGAAACUGUGAUGAGGGAACUCCAAGUGACUGCACAAUGUGUAGCCUUUUCUUGAAUUUUAAUAGUUCUUGGAAUAAGGGCUGGGAAAGACCGGUGCCAGCCGCCGCGGUAAUACCGGCAGCUCGAGUGGUCGUCGCUUUUAUUGGGCCUAAAACGUCCGUAGCCUGUUUGGUAAAUCUGUGGGUAAAUCAAUCCGCUUAACGGAUUGAAUUCUGCAGAGACUGCCAGACUAGGGACCGGGAGAGGUAUGAGGUACUCUGGG
RNAcentral lists this ribosomal RNA (617 nucleotides) under uncultured Candidatus Poseidoniales archaeon. RNAcentral's name for it is "bacterial SSU rRNA". It matches the Rfam family "Archaeal small subunit ribosomal RNA", at positions 1 to 624 of the family's 1478-position model. Lineage: Archaea; Methanobacteriati; Thermoplasmatota; Candidatus Poseidoniia; Candidatus Poseidoniales. The record is from RNAcentral.